UGGCUCAGUGGAUAGAGCGUCGGUCUGCAGACUCAAGGGUCCCGGGUUCGAUUCCCGG
This 58-nucleotide transfer RNA is filed under the name Myotis brandtii (Brandt's bat). It matches the Rfam family "tRNA", at positions 8 to 63 of the family's 71-position model. Rfam says of the family: Transfer RNA (tRNA) molecules are approximately 80 nucleotides in length. Their secondary structure includes four short double-helical elements and three loops (D, anti-codon, and T loops). Lineage: Eukaryota; Metazoa; Chordata; Mammalia; Chiroptera; Vespertilionidae. The record is from Rfam by way of RNAcentral.